GUAUAAGUUUUGUUGAACUUUAAGGGGUAGGCCAUGAUAGGCAAUGGGUCUUUGUUGUUUGCCAUGUUGUUUAGUAAUAUCCUUAGGCAUGGCUUUCCUUUUACAUUCAUACACAAAGAAAGGUUCAUUACAAUCAGUGGUGAACUUACGAUCAGCUGUCUUAUGGAGGUGUAUGUCACCUGCAAUAUAUUCCCUUUAGAGCUGGGCGCACAGAAUAUAGGUGCUUCUUGUGGCUCUUUUAGGGUCCCAAUUGAGUUAAUGGGAAAAAUAUAAAUUCAAAGGUUUGAUAACCUAAUGACCAAACUCUGGCAUCUAUUUUGGCCUUUCUGAACAGAGUUGGGAUGUGAAAACUAACAGAGAAGAGAAGGGGACCUCUGUGACAGGACUCCAUGUCUGCAAGCUUCAUUCUAGUCUUCUGCAAAGGGAGAUUAUCUUUUCUCCUGCUAUUAGGUCCCAAGAUAGGUAACUGGACAGAUGUUGUGGUGAAUAAUUAUAUUGAUUGCUAUAUCAAUAUAUAGGUUGAAAAAGCUGCAGUAACUAGUCUAAAGAGAUUUGCCUUCUUAACAUAAAGUGAUUUAUUUCUACCUUAGGUGAAAGAAAAGCAUACAUAGGUGUAAGGAUACAUGAUCAUUACAUCUUAGGUUGUUUCCAUAAUCCAUUAUAUGUAGUAUUUUAAAAUAAGUUCCAUCACAGACGCAACGAUUAAACACAGCAGUUGGUCGAAUCAUCAAUCUCCCUUUCAAUAACAAAUUUACCUCGUGUUUAUUUUCAGAUGUAAUUGCUAUCAGUUGAAGAGCUGGUUAAUGCAAAAGGAAGUCUGGGUUGAGUGAGACUCUCACCUAGUCCACAGAGAAGCUGACAUGACCCACAUCAACUUGCUCCUCCAGGAAACCCCUGUUUCCUGUUGCGGGGCAGCAGCAACACAUAGCUCAGCAAUUCUUCCCUCACCCUGUCAGGCUCACCUCACCUUGCAGAGCCUUGAAAUUGAAGAAGACACUUUCCAUCUAGAGGAAGACCUCAAACAUGCUUCUCUCCAGCCUUCUGAAGGUGGUCAUGGCUUCAUUGUGGCUAGGAUCCAGUAUUGCCCAGAAGGUAACUCAAGACCAACCAGUAAUAUUAGUGCAGGAGAAGGAGGUUGUGACCCUGGAUUGCAUAUAUGACACAAAUGAAUUCACUUAUAGUCUAUACUGGUACAAGCAGCCCAGCAGUGGGGCGAUGAUUCUCCUUAUUCGUCAGGAUUCUUAUAACCAGCAAAAUGCAACAGAAGGUCGCUACUCACUGAAUUUCCAGAAGGCAAACAAAUCCAUCAAACUUGCCAUCUCAGCUUCACAGCUGGAGGACUCUGCAGUGUAUUUCUGUGCACUGAGUGAGCCCACAGUGAGAGGCGUGUUGGAGGCAGGUAUACCAAAACCCAGGGCUCUGCUUGAUACAUCUGCCUGCUAUAGGGACCAGGGCAGGGAAUUGCCUUCACAGACAGGAAGUGGUUAGGGCUGUGGCAGCACAGGUGUAGGGUUAGAGGGAAAGCAUUCCUUCUAAGAACAUAUUUCUCUGGGUUCGUAGACCAGGUCUAGAGCUAUCAUUCAUCAAAAACAACCUUAUCCCUGAAAAUUUGGGUUCAAAUUUUUUAUUGAAGACAAAAAAUAGCCACAUAAAAUCCAUGCCAUUUAGUGAUUAGAAUGAGCUAGAAGAAUUGACUAAGGAAAUUCAGAGACAUCUGAUUCAAAAAUUAGUAAAAAUAUGCGUGAAUUUUUGGAUUUUCAAUUUGUUCAUUAAAUAUUUAUUGAAUAUAUAUUACAUUACAGGUAUUGUUUUGAAUAAGGAAGGUUGUGAAAUCUUUUUGUGAUUUUCCUCUUUUUGAAUAUUAUGCAGUUUUACACCGUUUAAUGAAGUCAUUUAAUUUAGUUUUGUUAGCUGAGUUUAUGGUACACUUGUUUACUUUCUAAGGUGCCUGAUAUGUCACAAACUUUGUGCUAAUCCUCAUUCUGUCUAUUAACACCUCUAGCAUGGAACAGCUGAAUUACCAUAAUGUAAGUUUUACCUGCCUCCCAUCAGUCUUAUCCACAAAAAGAUCAAUAAUUAGUGGCUCUGAAAAGGACAUUGUGAGAAGCAGACUAUGAAUUAUCUUGUUUCUCUGCUCUUGCCCUUCACUGCACCACUCCUUCAAAAGUAUUUUUGCCAUCAUGUGGCACAUUUUGGACACCUCCAGGCCCUCUUUUUCAAUCAGUGUUACACAAUCCCAAAUACUCCUUCCCUCAAAUUUCCUCCUUCUACCUCUAAUCCCAUUUUCUCAGUGUCUUAAAAUAUGAAUGGUAAUGGGUGGUUGCUAAGUGAUCUUGUAUUGUAACUGCCUCUUAUAUUUGCAUUUCAAAAGCAGUUGUGUAGAGUAGAAAUCUUAAAAGGAAUGUCAUACAGUCCCUUCAUUUUUAAGUGGUGCUGGAAAAAUUGGACAGCUACGUGUAAAAGGAUGAAAUUAGAACAGUCU
This is a non-coding RNA of Aethalodelphis obliquidens (Pacific white-sided dolphin), 2482 nucleotides long. The record is from the annotation of a RefSeq genome assembly. Lineage: Eukaryota; Metazoa; Chordata; Mammalia; Artiodactyla; Delphinidae.